AGGCUACUGACUGCUUAUUGCACCACAUGUGUUUUUUAUUGAACAAAUUUCUUUGGUGGCGGGAGCAAUCCUACCGCCAGAGGUUAUAACUAAACCAAACUUUUUAUUUACAGUCAAACUUGAUUUAUUAUUACAAUAGUCAAAACUUUCAACAACGGAUCUCUUGGUUCUCGCAUCGAUGAAGAACGCAGCGAAAUGCGAUACGUAAUAUGAAUUGCAGAUAUUCGUGAAUCAUCGAAUCUUUGAACGCACAUUGCGCCCUUUGGUAUUCCAAAGGGCAUGCCUGUUUGAGCGUCAUUUCUCCCUCAAACCCCCGGGUUUGGUGUUGAGCAAUACGCUAGGUUUGUUUGAAAGAAUUUAACGUGGAAACUUAUUUUAAGCGACUUAGGUUUAUCCAAAAACGCUUAUUUUGCUAGUGGCCACCACAAUUUAUUUCAUAACUUUGACCUCAAAUCAGGUAGGACUACCCGCUGAACUUAAGCAUAUCAUAAGCCGAAGGAA
RNAcentral lists this ribosomal RNA (501 nucleotides) under Candida tropicalis. RNAcentral's name for it is "eukaryotic LSU rRNA". The stretch from base 144 to 297 matches the Rfam family "5.8S ribosomal RNA". The record is from RNAcentral. Lineage: Eukaryota; Fungi; Ascomycota; Pichiomycetes; Serinales; Debaryomycetaceae.